Molecule: small nucleolar RNA, 107 nt
Filed under: Gossypium arboreum
Lineage: Eukaryota; Viridiplantae; Streptophyta; Magnoliopsida; Malvales; Malvaceae
Description: Plant small nucleolar RNA R71
Rfam family: Plant small nucleolar RNA R71
About the family: R71 is a member of the C/D box family of snoRNAs containing the C (UGAUGA) and D (CUGA) box motifs.
Source: Rfam by way of RNAcentral
AACUCAUGGUGAGGGCACCUUCUCAAUAAGUCCUUGUAUCUCUCCCAUGCACCGUAAAGUGUUUCUAAAUCCAUCUGCACAAAAGAAGAAAUAUCAUUACAUAAUUU